AAAUUGAAGAGUUUGAUCAUGGCUCAGAUUGAACGCUGGCGGCAGGCCUAACACAUGCAAGUCGAGCGGUAGCACAGAGAGCUUGCUCUCGGGUGACGAGCGGCGGACGGGUGAGUAAUGUCUGGGAAACUGCCUGAUGGAGGGGGAUAACUACUGGAAACGGUAGCUAAUACCGCAUAACGUCGCAAGACCAAAGUGGGGGACCUUCGGGCCUCAUGCCAUCAGAUGUGCCCAGAUGGGAUUAGCUAGUAGGUGGGGUAACGGCUCACCUAGGCGACGAUCCCUAGCUGGUCUGAGAGGAUGACCAGCCACACUGGAACUGAGACACGGUCCAGACUCCUACGGGAGGCAGCAGUGGGGAAUAUUGCACAAUGGGCGCAAGCCUGAUGCAGCCAUGCCGCGUGUGUGAAGAAGGCCUUCGGGUUGUAAAGCACUUUCAGCGGGGAGGAAGGCGGUGAGGUUAAUAACCUCAUCGAUUGACGUUACCCGCAGAAGAAGCACCGGCUAACUCCGUGCCAGCAGCCGCGGUAAUACGGAGGGUGCAAGCGUUAAUCGGAAUUACUGGGCGUAAAGCGCACGCAGGCGGUCUGUCAAGUCGGAUGUGAAAUCCCCGGGCUCAACCUGGGAACUGCAUUCGAAACUGGCAGGCUAGAGUCUUGUAGAGGGGGGUAGAAUUCCAGGUGUAGCGGUGAAAUGCGUAGAGAUCUGGAGGAAUACCGGUGGCGAAGGCGGCCCCCUGGACAAAGACUGACGCUCAGGUGCGAAAGCGUGGGGAGCAAACAGGAUUAGAUACCCUGGUAGUCCACGCCGUAAACGAUGUCGAUUUGGAGGUUGUGCCCUUGAGGCGUGGCUUCCGGAGCUAACGCGUUAAAUCGACCGCCUGGGGAGUACGGCCGCAAGGUUAAAACUCAAAUGAAUUGACGGGGGCCCGCACAAGCGGUGGAGCAUGUGGUUUAAUUCGAUGCAACGCGAAGAACCUUACCUGGUCUUGACAUCCACAGAACUUAGCAGAGAUGCUUUGGUGCCUUCGGGAACUGUGAGACAGGUGCUGCAUGGCUGUCGUCAGCUCGUGUUGUGAAAUGUUGGGUUAAGUCCCGCAACGAGCGCAACCCUUAUCCUUUGUUGCCAGCGGUCCGGCCGGGAACUCAAAGGAGACUGCCAGUGAUAAACUGGAGGAAGGUGGGGAUGACGUCAAGUCAUCAUGGCCCUUACGACCAGGGCUACACACGUGCUACAAUGGCAUAUACAAAGAGAAGCGACCUCGCGAGAGCAAGCGGACCUCAUAAAGUAUGUCGUAGUCCGGAUUGGAGUCUGCAACUCGACUCCAUGAAGUCGGAAUCGCUAGUAAUCGUAGAUCAGAAUGCUACGGUGAAUACGUUCCCGGGCCUUGUACACACCGCCCGUCACACCAUGGGAGUGGGUUGCAAAAGAAGUAGGUAGCUUAACCUUCGGGAGGGCGCUUACCACUUUGUGAUUCAUGACUGGGGUGAAGUCGUAACAAGGUAACCGUAGGGGAACCUGCGGUUGGAUCACCUCCUUACCUUAAAGAA
RNAcentral lists this ribosomal RNA (1550 nucleotides) under Klebsiella pneumoniae. RNAcentral describes it as "bacterial SSU rRNA". It matches the Rfam family "Bacterial small subunit ribosomal RNA". RNAcentral also lists the same sequence under 1 other name. The record is from RNAcentral. Lineage: Bacteria; Pseudomonadati; Pseudomonadota; Gammaproteobacteria; Enterobacterales; Enterobacteriaceae.